This 696-nucleotide ribosomal RNA is filed under the name Salmonella enterica. RNAcentral's name for it is "partial 23S ribosomal RNA". It matches the Rfam family "Bacterial large subunit ribosomal RNA", at positions 2107 to 2802 of the family's 2925-position model. Lineage: Bacteria; Pseudomonadati; Pseudomonadota; Gammaproteobacteria; Enterobacterales; Enterobacteriaceae. The record is from RNAcentral.
UAGCUUGACACUGAACAUUGAGCCUUGAUGUGUAGGAUAGGUGGGAGGCUUUGAAGCGUGGACGCCAGUCUGCGUGGAGCCGACCUUGAAAUACCACCCUUUAAUGUUUGAUGUUCUAACGUGGACCCGUUACCCGGGUUGCGGACAGUGUCUGGUGGGUAGUUUGACUGGGGCGGUCUCCUCCUAAAGAGUAACGGAGGAGCACGAAGGUUGGCUAAUCCUGGUCGGACAUCAGGAGGUUAGUGCAAUGGCAUAAGCCAGCUUGACUGCGAGCGUGACGGCGCGAGCAGGUGCGAAAGCAGGUCAUAGUGAUCCGGUGGUUCUGAAUGGAAGGGCCAUCGCUCAACGGAUAAAAGGUACUCCGGGGAUAACAGGCUGAUACCGCCCAAGAGUUCAUAUCGACGGCGGUGUUUGGCACCUCGAUGUCGGCUCAUCACAUCCUGGGGCUGAAGUAGGUCCCAAGGGUAUGGCUGUUCGCCAUUUAAAGUGGUACGCGAGCUGGGUUUAGAACGUCGUGAGACAGUUCGGUCCCUAUCUGCCGUGGGCGCUGGAGAACUGAGGGGGGCUGCUCCUAGUACGAGAGGACCGGAGUGGACGCAUCACUGGUGUUCGGGUUGUCAUGCCAAUGGCACUGCCCGGUAGCUAAAUGCGGAAGAGAUAAGUGCUGAAAGCAUCUAAGCACGAAACUUGCCCCGA